Molecule: ribosomal RNA, 253 nt
Filed under: uncultured bacterium
Lineage: Bacteria
Description: partial 16S ribosomal RNA
Rfam family: Bacterial small subunit ribosomal RNA
Source: RNAcentral
UACGUAGGUGGCAAGCGUUGUCCGGAAUUAUUGGGCGUAAAGCGCGCGCAGGCGGUCCUUUAAGUCUGAUGUGAAAGCCCACGGCUCAACCGUGGAGGGUCAUUGGAAACUGGGGGACUUGAGUACAGAAGAGGAAAGCGGAAUUCCACAUGUAGCGGUGAAAUGCGUAGAGAUAUGGAGGAACACCAGUGGCGAAGGCGGCUUUCUGGUCUGUAACUGACGCUGAGGCGCGAAAGCGUGGGGAGCAAACAGG